CCUACGGGGGGCAGCAGUGAGGAAUAUUGGUCAAUGGGCGAAAUCCUGAACCAGCCAAGCCGCGUGAGGGACGACGGCCCUAUGGGUUGUAAACCUCUUUUGUCGGGGGACAAAACCCGGCACGUGUCCCUGACUGCGUGUAUCCGAAGAAAAAGCAUCGGCUAACUCCGUGCCAGCAGCCGCGGUAAUACGGAGGAUGCGAGCGUUAUCCGGUUUUAUUGGGUUUAAAGGGUGCGUAGGCGGCCAGUUAAGUCAGCGGUAAAAGUGCGGGGCUCAACCCCGGCGAGCCGUUGAAACUGGCAGACUUGAGAGGGCGAGAGGUACGCGGAAUGCGCGGUGUAGCGGUGAAAUGCAUAGAUAUCGCGCAGAACUCCGAUUGCGAAGGCAGCGUACCGGCGGCAGACUGACGCUGAGGCACGAAAGCGUGGGGAUCGAACAGGAUUAGAUACCCGAGUAGUC
This 459-nucleotide ribosomal RNA is filed under the name uncultured bacterium. RNAcentral describes it as "partial 16S ribosomal RNA". It matches the Rfam family "Bacterial small subunit ribosomal RNA", at positions 338 to 795 of the family's 1533-position model. The record is from RNAcentral.